Molecule: ribosomal RNA, 405 nt
Filed under: uncultured bacterium
Lineage: Bacteria
Description: partial 16S ribosomal RNA
Rfam family: Bacterial small subunit ribosomal RNA
Source: RNAcentral
AUUGAACGCUGGCGGCAGGCUUAACACAUGCAAGUCGAGCGAGCGGCGGACGGGUGAGUAAUGUCUGGGAAACUGCCUGAUGGAGGGGGAUAACUACUGGAAACGGUAGCUAAUACCGCAUACCAUCAGAUGUGCCCAGAUGGGAUUAGCUAGUAGGUGGGGUAAUGGCUCACCUAGGCGACGAUCCCUAGCUGGUCUGAGGGGAUGACCGGCCAACCUGGAACUGGAACACGGUCCAGCCUCCAAGGGGGGGCAGAGGUGGGGAAUAUUGCACAAUGGGGGAAGGCCUGAUGCGGCCAUGCCGGGUGUGGGAAGAGGGCCUUCGGGUUGUAAAGCACUUUCAGCGAGGAGGCGUUACUCGCAGAAGAAGCACCGGCUAACUCCGUGCCAGCCGCCGCGGUAAUC